RNAcentral lists this ribosomal RNA (422 nucleotides) under Gemella morbillorum. RNAcentral describes it as "bacterial SSU rRNA". It matches the Rfam family "Bacterial small subunit ribosomal RNA", at positions 28 to 437 of the family's 1533-position model. Lineage: Bacteria; Bacillati; Bacillota; Bacilli; Caryophanales; Gemellaceae. The record is from RNAcentral.
GACGAACGCUGGCGGCGUGCCUAAUACAUGCAAGUCGAGCGAAGUUUUUCUGGUGCUUGCACUAGAAAAACUUAGCGGCGAACGGGUGAGUAACACGUAAAGAACCUGCCUCAUAGACUGGGACAACUAUUGGAAACGAUAGCUAAUACCGGAUAACAGCAUUAACUGCAUGGUUGAUGUUUAAAAGUUGGUUUUGCUAACACUAUGAGAUGGCUUUGCGGUGCAUUAGCUAGUUGGUGGGGUAAAGGCCUACCAAGGCGACGAUGCAUAGCCGACCUGAGAGGGUGAUCGGCCACACUGGGACUGAGACACGGCCCAGACUCCUACGGGAGGCAGCAGUAGGGAAUCUUCCGCAAUGGGCGAAAGCCUGACGGAGCAACGCCGCGUGAGUGAAGAAGGAUUUCGGUUCGUAAAGCUCUGUU